Molecule: ribosomal RNA, 467 nt
Filed under: uncultured bacterium
Lineage: Bacteria
Description: partial 16S ribosomal RNA
Rfam family: Bacterial small subunit ribosomal RNA
Source: RNAcentral
ACGCACGCUGGCGGCGUGCUUCACCCCUGCCAGUCGCACGGAAAGGCCCUGCUUUUGUGGGGUGCUCGAGUGGCGAACGGGUGAGUAACACGUGAGUAACCUGCCCUUGACUUUGGGAUAACUUCAGGAAACUGGGGCUAAUACCGGAUAGGAGCUCCUGCUGCAUGGUGGGGGUUGGAAAGUUUCGGCGGCUGGGGAUGGACUCGCGGCUUAUCAGCUUGUUGGUGGGGUAGUGGCUUACCAAGGCUUUGACGGGUAGCCGGCCUGAGAGGGUGACCGGCCACAUUGGGACUGAGAUACGGCCCAGACUCCUACGGGAGGCAGCAGUGGGGAAUAUUGCACAAUGGGCGGAAGCCUGAUGCAGCAACGCCGCGUGCGGGAUGACGGCCUUCGGAUUGUAAACCGCUUUCGCCUGUGACGAAGCGUGAGUGACGGUAAUGGGUAAAGAAGCACCGGCUAACUACGUG